GCCUUCGUGGUGUAGUGGUCAGCACGCUCGACGCGAAUGCGAGAGGUCCGUGGUUCGAGUCCCGGCGAGGGCA
Molecule: transfer RNA, 73 nt
Filed under: Stegodyphus mimosarum
Lineage: Eukaryota; Metazoa; Arthropoda; Arachnida; Araneae; Eresidae
Rfam family: tRNA
About the family: Transfer RNA (tRNA) molecules are approximately 80 nucleotides in length.
Source: Rfam by way of RNAcentral